UAGAAUUUGGUGUAUUUGGGAGCACGAAGAGUUUUGGAUUCUUAGGAGUAGGUUCAAUUCCUAUAAUUCUAG
This 72-nucleotide transfer RNA is filed under the name Naemorhedus griseus (Chinese goral). Its description in RNAcentral is "tRNA-Gln". It matches the Rfam family "tRNA". From Rfam's summary of the family: Transfer RNA (tRNA) molecules are approximately 80 nucleotides in length. Their secondary structure includes four short double-helical elements and three loops (D, anti-codon, and T loops). RNAcentral also lists the same sequence under 2 other names. The record is from RNAcentral. Lineage: Eukaryota; Metazoa; Chordata; Mammalia; Artiodactyla; Bovidae.